This 1540-nucleotide ribosomal RNA is filed under the name Klebsiella pneumoniae. RNAcentral's name for it is "bacterial SSU rRNA". It matches the Rfam family "Bacterial small subunit ribosomal RNA". Lineage: Bacteria; Pseudomonadati; Pseudomonadota; Gammaproteobacteria; Enterobacterales; Enterobacteriaceae. The record is from RNAcentral.
AAAUUGAAGAGUUUGAUCAUGGCUCAGAUUGAACGCUGGCGGCAGGCCUAACACAUGCAAGUCGAGCGGUAGCACAGAGAGCUUGCUCUCGGGUGACGAGCGGCGGACGGGUGAGUAAUGUCUGGGAAACUGCCUGAUGGAGGGGGAUAACUACUGGAAACGGUAGCUAAUACCGCAUAAUGUCGCAAGACCAAAGUGGGGGACCUUCGGGCCUCAUGCCAUCAGAUGUGCCCAGAUGGGAUUAGCUAGUAGGUGGGGUAACGGCUCACCUAGGCGACGAUCCCUAGCUGGUCUGAGAGGAUGACCAGCCACACUGGAACUGAGACACGGUCCAGACUCCUACGGGAGGCAGCAGUGGGGAAUAUUGCACAAUGGGCGCAAGCCUGAUGCAGCCAUGCCGCGUGUGUGAAGAAGGCCUUCGGGUUGUAAAGCACUUUCAGCGGGGAGGAAGGCGUUAAGGUUAAUAACCUUGUCGAUUGACGUUACCCGCAGAAGAAGCACCGGCUAACUCCGUGCCAGCAGCCGCGGUAAUACGGAGGGUGCAAGCGUUAAUCGGAAUUACUGGGCGUAAAGCGCACGCAGGCGGUCUGUCAAGUCGGAUGUGAAAUCCCCGGGCUCAACCUGGGAACUGCAUUCGAAACUGGCAGGCUAGAGUCUUGUAGAGGGGGGUAGAAUUCCAGGUGUAGCGGUGAAAUGCGUAGAGAUCUGGAGGAAUACCGGUGGCGAAGGCGGCCCCCUGGACAAAGACUGACGCUCAGGUGCGAAAGCGUGGGGAGCAAACAGGAUUAGAUACCCUGGUAGUCCACGCCGUAAACGAUGUCGAUUUGGAGGUUGUGCCCUUGAGGCGUGGCUUCCGGAGCUAACGCGUUAAAUCGACCGCCUGGGGAGUACGGCCGCAAGGUUAAAACUCAAAUGAAUUGACGGGGGCCCGCACAAGCGGUGGAGCAUGUGGUUUAAUUCGAUGCAACGCGAAGAACCUUACCUGGUCUUGACAUCCACAGAACUUUCCAGAGAUGGAUUGGUGCCUUCGGGAACUGUGAGACAGGUGCUGCAUGGCUGUCGUCAGCUCGUGUUGUGAAAUGUUGGGUUAAGUCCCGCAACGAGCGCAACCCUUAUCCUUUGUUGCCAGCGGUUAGGCCGGGAACUCAAAGGAGACUGCCAGUGAUAAACUGGAGGAAGGUGGGGAUGACGUCAAGUCAUCAUGGCCCUUACGACCAGGGCUACACACGUGCUACAAUGGCAUAUACAAAGAGAAGCGACCUCGCGAGAGCAAGCGGAACUCAUAAAGUAUGUCGUAGUCCGGAUUGGAGUCUGCAACUCGACUCCAUGAAGUCGGAAUCGCUAGUAAUCGUAGAUCAGAAUGCUACGGUGAAUACGUUCCCGGGCCUUGUACACACCGCCCGUCACACCAUGGGAGUGGGUUGCAAAAGAAGUAGGUAGCUUAACCUUCGGGAGGGCGCUUACCACUUUGUGAUUCAUGACUGGGGUGAAGUCGUAACAAGGUAACCGUAGGGGAACCUGCGGUUGGAUCACCUCCUUA